This is a long non-coding RNA of Nicotiana tabacum (common tobacco), 672 nucleotides long. RefSeq lists it as uncharacterized. NCBI's taxonomy places the organism in Eukaryota, Viridiplantae, Streptophyta, Magnoliopsida, Solanales, Solanaceae. The record is from RefSeq and is a predicted model, not a curated record.
GAUUUUGAUAAAUUUGAUUUGGUUUUCUUCAAAUUUUGAAUUUUUCCUGUUGGAUUGUUUACAUGCAGGUUAGUAUUUGUAUAUAUUUUGAUGGUUGCUCCAUUGUUGCUUCUACGAACUGCUCUGCGUCUUGCUUUCUUCAGUCCUCACUAUUUGAAGAAGCUACUAAAUCAGAGGAUAUAACCGGCAUAGCCUGUUAAGGAGGAAAAACGGAUUCUUUCUAACAAAUAGCCCCACCCAGUGCUCUUUUGUAUACGGACUAACACUCUAUUGAAGGAACUGAAUUUCAAGAUACCUGCAGGGUACAUCAAAAUCUCCCUAUGCUAUGAUUUUUGGAAAGAGUUGCGUGCGUCAUGUUAGCGAUUUUUACUGACCAUUGAUCUUCUGGCUAAAAAUACGGUUCACUACCAGCUAUAUUGUGAAUAACUCGAAAAACAUGAAGUCUUCACUACUGGAAAUGAAUUACUCCCAAAGGUGCAGCCUCAAAACUGUUAGAUCUUUUUGUAAAUUAGCUCUUCAUAGUAUGUUUCUUUGCAAUUUGUUAGAUUUGAUCGGCGGCUCAAUAUUGUUGGUGGCCUAAAGCAAAAUUUUGAUGAGAGGCCUUAAUUUUUUAUUUGAUUGAAGUGUAUUUUCCUAACUUUUUUAGAUAUUAUUAAUAGUUUUCUUAAAAUA